UUACUGUUGAUUGUGACGAAAUGCCAGCUGAGGCACAUGCCUUGGGAGCUAAGUGGUUGCUGCCCUUGACCACUGUGAAGACUGGUGUGGGAAGGGUCGCUUUGGAUGCACUUGAGCAGGGGUCCCCAACCCCUGAGCCAUGGAGCCGCAAGGAGCCACACAGCAGGAGGUGGGACCAUCCAGUUGCAGGAAAACAAGCUUAACACGCCCACUAAUUCUACAUUAUGCUCCUACCUCCCGGCAGCCUCUCCAGGCCCAGAACUUUCUCCAGUCAGCCUCUACAGACCAAGCUCAUGACUCACAAUGGCCUAUUUAGGCCCAUACCCUACGUCACGGCAGCCUCCGCAGAUGAGGCUACUGCCUCACAACAGCCUCCACAGGCACAGCUCCAUCGUUACAAUGGCCUCUUUAGACCCAGCUCCUGCCUCCCAGCCUUCUCUCCAGGCCCUGAACUUUCUCAAGUCGACCUCACCAGGCCCAGCUCAUGCUUCUUUGCAGCCUCUCCAGGCCCAGCUCCUGCAUCUUGGUGGCCCCUCCAGGCCCAGCCUCUGCCUCCCGUCGGCCUCUGCAGUCCCAACGUCUGCCUCACAGCAGAUUCUUCACGCCCAGCAUCUACCUCACUGUGGACCCCCCAAGCCAAGCUCCCAACCUUUCAGCAGCUUCUACACACCCAGCUCCUGCCACCCAGUGGCCUCUUUAGGCCAAGCUCAUGCUUCACAAGGGCCUUUCCAGGCCCAACUUUUGUCUCAUGGCAACCUUCCCUGGCCAGAUUCCUGCCUGUCUCCCAGCAGCCUAGACAGGCCCAGGUCUUGCCUCACACUGGCCUCUCUACAUCCAGCUUAUGCCUCACGGUGGCCUCUCCAGGCCCAACUCCUGUCCCAGGACGUCAUCUCCGGGCCCAAAACUUACUCAAGUUAGACUCUCUAGUCCCAACUGCUGCCUCCUGGUGGCCUAUGAAGGCCCAAAAUCUCCUCAAGUUGACCUGUCCAGGCCCAGCUCCUGCCUCCUGUCAGCGUCUACAGGCCCAACCUCUGCCUCAUGGGGGCUUCUCCAGGCCCACCUCUUCCUCUUGGCUGGGUCUACAGGCACAACUGCUGCCUCACAACAGCCUUUUUUGGCCCAGUUCCUGUCCAGCUCAUGGCGGCCAAUGUAGGCCCAAAACUUCCUCAAGUCAAACUCUCCAGGCCCACCUUCUGCUUCCCGGUGGCAUCAACAGGCCCAGCUUUGACUUGAGAACAGCCUCUGCAGGCCCUGCUCUUGCCUCCCAGGGGCUUUUUCCAGGCCCAGCUCUUGCCUCAUGGCAGCUGCCCCAGGCCAAAUUUCUGCCUGCCUGCCAGCAGCCUCAACAGGCACAGCUCCUCCCUCACAGUGGCCCAUUUAGGCCCAACUCAUGACUGUGAGGCCAUUUCCAGGCCUAGUGCCUGCCUCGUGGCUGACUCUUGAAGCCCAAAACUUCCUCAAAUCAGGCUUUUGCCCAACUUCUGUCUACUGUCGGACUCUACAGGUCAGCCUCUGCCUCACAGUGGACCCUCCAGACCCAGAUGGUGUCUCACUGUGGCAUCCUCAGGCGAAGCUCCUGCCUUUCGGCAGCCUCUCCAGGCCCAGCUCCUCCUGCCUCCCAGUGGCCUCUUUCGGCCCAGCCCAGCUCAUGCCUCCCGGCGGCCUUCCCAAGCCCCGCUUUUGACUUUCGGUGGCCUCUGCAGGCCUCGACAAGGCCCAGCCUCCUGCCUCCCGAAGGCCUGCACAGGCCCAGCCUCUGCCUCACAGCGGACUCUCCACGCCCAGCUAGCUGUUGCUUCACUGCGGCCUCCCGAGUCCAAAGCUCCUGCCUCUCGGCCGCUUCGGCAGGCCCAGCUCCCGCCUGCCAGUGGCCUCUUCAGGCCCAUGGGGCUCAUUCCUGACAACGGCCUUUCCAGGCCCAGUUUUUCCCUUCCGGCGGCCUCUCCGGGCCCAGAACCUCCUCAAGUCGGCCUCUCCAGACCCACUUGCACCCUCCGGGCGUUCUCUCCGGGCCCAGCUCUUCUUCCUGGUUGGGUCUCCAGGCCCGAUUCCUGCCUCUCAACAACCUCUUUGGACUCAGUGCCUACCCAUCUCCUGGCGGCCUUGGUCGGCCCACAGCUUCCUCAAGCCAAGCUCCCCAGGCCCAGGUCAGGCCUCACGGUGGCCUCUCCAGGAUGAGCUCCUGCCCUCCGAUGGCAUCUCCAGGCCCCAAAUGGUCUCCGGUCGGUGGGCUCCUCCACGCCAAGGUUGGGCCUCCCGGCGACCGCCGCAGGCCCAAGUUGUCCUGAAGUCGGGCUCUCCCGGCCCUGCCUCCCAGCAAGUAAGCAAGCUCUUUUGGCUCAACUCCUGCCCAGCUCCCAACCGCCUUUGUAGGCCCCGAACUUUCUCCAGCCAAGCUCUGAGGGCCCACCUCCUGCCUCCUGGUGGCCUGUACAGUUCUAGCACUGGUUGGAGAACAGCCUCUGCAGGCCCCUCCCUUGCCUCCCAGGGGCCUCUCCAGGCCCAGCUCUUGCCCCCACGGCGGCCUCCCGGGGCCAAGUCCCUGCCUGCCUCCCAGCAGCCCGCGUGCGGCCCAGCUCCUCCCUCACGGUGGCCUGUUGAUGCCCAACUCAUGCCUCUGGCACCCUGCCCAGAGGCGUGAGCCCCUGCCUCACACUGGCUCCUCCCACGCUGAGAGAGGUCAGUGUGAGCCCUUGCCUCACACCGGCCCCUCCCACGCGGACAGAGGUCAGCGUGAGCCCCUUGUCUCACACCGGCCCCUCCCACGCUGAGAGAGGUCAGUGUGAGCCCUUGCCUCACACCGGCCCCUCCCACGCGGACAGAGGUCAGCGUGACCCCCUGCCUCAACAGGCCACCGUGAGGGAGGAACAGGAUCGCACUCGGGCUGCUGGGAGGUAGGCAGGGACUUGGGCCUGGGAGGUCGCGGUGGGGCGAGAGCUGGGCCUGGAGACUCCCCUGGGAGGCAACAGCGGGGUCUGCAGACGCCCUUCUCCAGCCGGAGCUGGGACUGUUCAGUCACUGGGAGAAGGGAUGUGGGUCUGAAGAGCUUGGUUGCAGAAACUUUGGGGUCUACAAACGCAGGCGGGAGCUGAGCCAAAAGAGCUUGUUUGCUGGGAGGUGGGAGAUGCAGCCAGGAGGAACAGCUGGGCAAUGCGGGAGGCAGAGGCCAGGCCUCCUUAAGUUGGCCUCUCAGACCCACUUGCAGCCUCCCGGCGCCCCCUCCGGGCCCAGCUCUUCCUCCCGGCUGCAUCUCCAGGCCGGACUCUGGCCCGACUCCAGGUCCCAACAACGUCUUUGGACUCAGCUCCUGCCCAGCUCCCAGCGGCCCUGGUAGGCCCACAACUUCCCUAAGCCAAGCUCCCCAGGCCCAGCUCAGGCCUCGCGGUGGCCUCUCCAGGCUCAGCUCCUGGCCCUCCGAUGACAUCUGCAGGCCCCAAAUGGCCUCCGGUCGGUGGGCUCCUCUAGGCCCAGCUUGGGCCUCCCGGCGGCCUCCGCAGGCCCAAAUCGUCCCGAAGUCAGUCUCUCCAGGCUUAGCUCCAGCCUCCCGGCGGCCUCUGCAGGCCCAAGUCGUCCUCAAGUCGGCCUGGAAGUGGGCCUGGAAGAGCAGCAAGUCGGCCUCCCUGGGCCCAGCUCCGUCCUCUCGACGGCCUCUCCAGGUGCAAAACUUCCUCGAGUCAGCCUCUCCAGGCCCAGCUCCUCCUGCCUCCCAGUGGCCUCUUUCGGCCCAGCCCAGCUCAUGGCUCUCGGCGGCCUUCCCAGGCCCCGCUUUUGACUUUUGGCAGCCUCUUCAGGCGCAGAACUUGAUCUCCAGUCGGCCUUUGCAGGCCCGGCCUCCUGCCUCUCGAAGGCCUGCACGGGCCCGGCCUCGGCCUCGGCCUCACAGCAGACUCUCCACGCCCAGCUAGCUCUCGCCUCACUGCGGCCUCCCCAGUCCAAAGCUCCUGCCUUUCGGCCACUUCGGCAGGUCCAGCUCCUGCCUGCCAGUGGCCUCUUUAGGCCCAGCUCAUUCCUCACGUCGGCCAUUCCAGGCCCCGUUUUUCCCUUCCGGCAGCCUCUUGGCCUCUAAUUUGUUUAUCUUUUGUGUAUAAAUCCCAAAAUAUUGAAUUUUGGAAUAUUUCCACCAUUAUGUAAAUAUUUUGAUAGGUAAUUUAUUUGGAGUGAGUUUCUGCGCCAAGCCCGAAUUUUUUAUUUUAUUUUCCUUAUUAUUUGGUGUUAAACAGGUUUAAUGACGGUCAUGGCAACUUUUUGGCACAAUGAAAAAUAUCGCCCACGA
This 4273-nucleotide long non-coding RNA is filed under the name Homo sapiens (human). RNAcentral describes it as "non-protein coding lnc-OR4F29-1:20". The record is from RNAcentral. Lineage: Eukaryota; Metazoa; Chordata; Mammalia; Primates; Hominidae.